This is a non-coding RNA of Paragonimus heterotremus, 82 nucleotides long. The record is from the annotation of a GenBank genome assembly. NCBI's taxonomy places the organism in Eukaryota, Metazoa, Platyhelminthes, Trematoda, Plagiorchiida, Troglotrematidae.
GGCUUCGUAGCUCAGCUGGUAGAGCAUUUUUCAUUUCUGGGGCAUGUUGUUUCUGUCGCUGGUGCGAAUCCGGCCGAAGUCC